RNAcentral lists this ribosomal RNA (672 nucleotides) under Methanobacteriota archaeon. RNAcentral's name for it is "bacterial LSU rRNA". It matches the Rfam family "Archaeal large subunit ribosomal RNA", at positions 2314 to 2987 of the family's 2987-position model. Lineage: Archaea; Methanobacteriati; Methanobacteriota. The record is from RNAcentral.
AGAACACCGCUUGGUGGGCAGUUUGGGUGGGGCGCCACGCGCUCGAAAAUAUAACAAGCGUGCCCAAAGGUCAGCUUAGGUGGUUCAGUCUCCACCGUUAACCGUAAGGGGAAAAGCUGGCUUGACUUGAAUCGGAUCAAUAACGAUUGAAGAUGCGAAAGCACGGCCUAACGAACCAAUCUACCUCAUUUCUGGGGGUGAUUGAUAACAGAAAAGUUACCUCGGGGAUAAUUGAGUUGUCACCAGCAAGAGCACACAUCGACCUGGUGGCUUGCUACUUCGAUGUCGUCUCUUCCCAACCUCCUGGUGCAGCAGCUGGGAAGGGUGGGGUUGUUCGCCCAUUAAAGGGGAUCGUGAGAUGGGUUUAGACCGUCGUGAGACAGGUUUGUUGCUUUGUGGUUGAGGCGUAUCAGGUGCCUGAUCGGAAGGGCCCUUUAGUACGAGAGGAACGAGGGCUCGGAGCCACUAGUUUACCAGUUGUCUGACAAGGCAAUGCUGGGUAGCCACGCUCCAUGCGGAUAAGAGCUGAAAGCAUCUAAGCUCGAAGUCGCCCGAAAGACGAGGCACCUCAGGGGACUCGUAAAAGACGAGAUUGAUAGACAGCGGGUGUAAGUACCGAGGUUUCGACCGAGGUAUUCAGCCCAGCUGCACUAAUCCCCCGAGCAUCAAGAA